AACAGGAUUAGAUACCCUGGUAGUCCACGCCGUAAACGAUGUCGACUUGGAGGUUGUGCCCUUGAGGCGUGGCUUCCGGAGCUAACGCGUUAAGUCGACCGCCUGGGGAGUACGGCCGCAAGGUUAAAACUCAAAUGAAUUGACGGGGGCCCGCACAAGCGGUGGAGCAUGUGGUUUAAUUCGAUGCAACGCGAAGAACCUUACCUACUCUUGACAUCCAGAGAACUUAGCAGAGAUGCUUUGGUGCCUUCGGGAACUCUGAGACAGGUGCUGCAUGGCUGUCGUCAGCUCGUGUUGUGAAAUGUUGGGUUAAGUCCCGCAACGAGCGCAACCCUUAUCCUUUGUUGCCAGCGGUCCGGCCGGGAACUCAAAGGAGACUGCCAGUGAUAAACUGGAGGAAGGUGGGGAUGACGUCAAGUCAUCAUGGCCCUUACGAGUAGGGCUACACACGUGCUACAAUGGCAUAUACAAAGAGAAGCGACCUCGCGAGAGCAAGCGGACCUCAUAAAGUAUGUCGUAGUCCGGAUUGGAGUCUGCAACUCGACUCCAUGAAGUCGGAAUCGCUAGUAAUCGUGGAUCAGAAUGCCACGGUGAAUACGUUCCCGGGCCUUGUACACACCGCCCGUCACACCAUGGGAGUGGGUUGUAAAAGAAGUAGGUAGCUUAACCUUCGGGAGGGCGCUUACCACUUUGUGAUUCAUGACUGGGGUGAAGUCGUAACAAGGUAACC
RNAcentral lists this ribosomal RNA (730 nucleotides) under uncultured bacterium. Its description in RNAcentral is "bacterial SSU rRNA". It matches the Rfam family "Bacterial small subunit ribosomal RNA", at positions 771 to 1501 of the family's 1533-position model. The record is from RNAcentral.